UACAGAGGGUGCGAGCGUUAAUCGGAAUUACUGGGCGUAAAGCGCGCGUAGGCGGCAUUGCAAGUCGGGUGUGAAAUCCCCAGGCUUAACCUGGGAACUGCAUUCGAGACUGCAUUGCUAGAGUAUGGGAGAGGGAAGUGGAAUUUCCGGUGUAGCGGUGAAAUGCGUAGAUAUCGGAAGGAACAUCAGUGGCGAAAGCGGCUUCCUGGACCAGUACCGACGUUCAGGCACGAAAGCGUGGGGAGCAAACAGG
This 253-nucleotide ribosomal RNA is filed under the name uncultured bacterium. RNAcentral's name for it is "partial 16S ribosomal RNA". It matches the Rfam family "Bacterial small subunit ribosomal RNA", at positions 524 to 776 of the family's 1533-position model. The record is from RNAcentral.